Molecule: ribosomal RNA, 1542 nt
Filed under: Enterobacter hormaechei
Lineage: Bacteria; Pseudomonadati; Pseudomonadota; Gammaproteobacteria; Enterobacterales; Enterobacteriaceae
Description: bacterial SSU rRNA
Rfam family: Bacterial small subunit ribosomal RNA
Source: RNAcentral
AAAUUGAAGAGUUUGAUCAUGGCUCAGAUUGAACGCUGGCGGCAGGCCUAACACAUGCAAGUCGAACGGUAACAGGAAGCAGCUUGCUGCUUUGCUGACGAGUGGCGGACGGGUGAGUAAUGUCUGGGAAACUGCCUGAUGGAGGGGGAUAACUACUGGAAACGGUAGCUAAUACCGCAUAACGUCGCAAGACCAAAGAGGGGGACCUUCGGGCCUCUUGCCAUCGGAUGUGCCCAGAUGGGAUUAGCUAGUAGGUGGGGUAACGGCUCACCUAGGCGACGAUCCCUAGCUGGUCUGAGAGGAUGACCAGCCACACUGGAACUGAGACACGGUCCAGACUCCUACGGGAGGCAGCAGUGGGGAAUAUUGCACAAUGGGCGCAAGCCUGAUGCAGCCAUGCCGCGUGUAUGAAGAAGGCCUUCGGGUUGUAAAGUACUUUCAGCGGGGAGGAAGGCGAUAAGGUUAAUAACCUUGUCGAUUGACGUUACCCGCAGAAGAAGCACCGGCUAACUCCGUGCCAGCAGCCGCGGUAAUACGGAGGGUGCAAGCGUUAAUCGGAAUUACUGGGCGUAAAGCGCACGCAGGCGGUCUGUCAAGUCGGAUGUGAAAUCCCCGGGCUCAACCUGGGAACUGCAUUCGAAACUGGCAGGCUAGAGUCUUGUAGAGGGGGGUAGAAUUCCAGGUGUAGCGGUGAAAUGCGUAGAGAUCUGGAGGAAUACCGGUGGCGAAGGCGGCCCCCUGGACAAAGACUGACGCUCAGGUGCGAAAGCGUGGGGAGCAAACAGGAUUAGAUACCCUGGUAGUCCACGCCGUAAACGAUGUCGACUUGGAGGUUGUGCCCUUGAGGCGUGGCUUCCGGAGCUAACGCGUUAAGUCGACCGCCUGGGGAGUACGGCCGCAAGGUUAAAACUCAAAUGAAUUGACGGGGGCCCGCACAAGCGGUGGAGCAUGUGGUUUAAUUCGAUGCAACGCGAAGAACCUUACCUACUCUUGACAUCCAGAGAACUUAGCAGAGAUGCUUUGGUGCCUUCGGGAGCUCUGAGACAGGUGCUGCAUGGCUGUCGUCAGCUCGUGUUGUGAAAUGUUGGGUUAAGUCCCGCAACGAGCGCAACCCUUAUCCUUUGUUGCCAGCGGUCCGGCCGGGAACUCAAAGGAGACUGCCAGUGAUAAACUGGAGGAAGGUGGGGAUGACGUCAAGUCAUCAUGGCCCUUACGAGUAGGGCUACACACGUGCUACAAUGGCGCAUACAAAGAGAAGCGACCUCGCGAGAGCAAGCGGACCUCAUAAAGUGCGUCGUAGUCCGGAUUGGAGUCUGCAACUCGACUCCAUGAAGUCGGAAUCGCUAGUAAUCGUGGAUCAGAAUGCCACGGUGAAUACGUUCCCGGGCCUUGUACACACCGCCCGUCACACCAUGGGAGUGGGUUGCAAAAGAAGUAGGUAGCUUAACCUUCGGGAGGGCGCUUACCACUUUGUGAUUCAUGACUGGGGUGAAGUCGUAACAAGGUAACCGUAGGGGAACCUGCGGUUGGAUCACCUCCUUA